UACUAAUUCUUUUGUCUACCCGUCGAGCGCGCGCCACAACUCAAGGAACCAGUGACGCGCGACGCUCUCUAUGCGCUCAAAGCUGCGGCAAUUCCGUUUUCACUUUUAAAAACAAAAAAAUAGACUUGAAGGAGAAGAAAGAAGUUGUAGAGGAGGUGGAUGAAGCCGAGAAGGAGAACGGCAGCGACGACGCACCUGCCAAUGGAACAAAGACAAAUGGUGCUGAAAAUGGUGAUGAGACCCCUGAAGAUGAGGAGGAAGAAGAGGAAGGAGAUGGAGAUGAGGGUGAGGAUGGAGAGGAUGGUGCAGAGGAAGAGGCUGAUGGACAUGCUGUGAAGCGCCAAGCGGAAGAGGAAGAAAAUGUUGAAACAAAAAAGCAGAAGACAGAAAAUGGCAGCUCUACAGAAGAUGAAGUGAAAGCCUAAAGCCUCAGUCUACUUUCAGUAGCUCUGUCCACAUGGUCAAUAUGACCUAGUAGAGGUUGUGCUUUCAUAUACAUCACAGAAACAUUUCCCCCAUAUUCUAUUUGCACUGGAGUUCUAUAACGUCACAGCCCUUUUUUUGUAAAAUGUUAUUUAUUGGUCCCUUCAUGGCCAGUUUUAAUUACUGCUGAAAAUGGGGCCUGUUCAUGAGAACAGUCCCUUUUUUUCCUUCUUCAAAACAGUUGUGAAGCACAUUUUCUACUUUGUUACCUGACCAGCUGGUGAUAGUCUUAAGCAGCUGUGCCCUUUCUUAUAAGGUUCAGACAUUUAUAUGGUGACCUCUUAAACAUUCAAUGAAGACCAAAGAUAAGUUUUAAGCAGGGGGUAAUGGACAGUUAGGGUUAGAAUGGUUCUAUUUUAGCUUGUGCUGCUAGUAGUUAUAAAACCUUGCCUUGCUGGUCUGUAAUGUAACGGCAGAUGGCACACACAAAUUUGAGGGCCUCUUUACUGAACAUGAUAAUUUGGCCCACUGAGCAAAUAAGCUUAUGCAAUGUUUAUUAACCCCUCUUAAAUCUUAAGGUUUUGGUCCCUGUUCUGUAUCCAUUUGUUUUCUUCAAGGUCUGUACAGUUUGGUUUAAUAUUUGCUGGGAUAACAGAUUUAGGUCUUUAAAAGCUUCGGAAAACCUAUACUGGUGGUCCUUACUUUGUCCUCUCUAAGCAAUCUUUUUUUAAAAAAAAAAAAAAAAAACAACAAAUGGUUUGUUUGCGCUGACCACUGCUUUGUAUAUUCUGGUUCUGGAUUAUAAAUAAAUCAGUCUUGUCUUUUUAUUUUUGUGUGUGU
Molecule: long non-coding RNA, 1263 nt
Organism: Scleropages formosus (Asian bonytongue)
Lineage: Eukaryota; Metazoa; Chordata; Actinopteri; Osteoglossiformes; Osteoglossidae
Source: Ensembl